This 635-nucleotide ribosomal RNA is filed under the name Bradyrhizobium sp. RNAcentral's name for it is "bacterial SSU rRNA". It matches the Rfam family "Bacterial small subunit ribosomal RNA", at positions 22 to 701 of the family's 1533-position model. The record is from RNAcentral. Lineage: Bacteria; Pseudomonadati; Pseudomonadota; Alphaproteobacteria; Hyphomicrobiales; Nitrobacteraceae.
GCUCAGAGCGAACGCUGGCGGCAGGCUUAACACAUGCAAGUCGAGCGGGCAUAGCAAUAUGUCAGCGGCAGACGGGUGAGUAACGCGUGGGAACGUACCUUUUGGUUCGGAACAACACAGGGAAACUUGUGCUAAUACCGGAUAAGCCCUUACGGGGAAAGAUUUAUCGCCGAAAGAUCGGCCCGCGUCUGAUUAGCUAGUUGGUGGGGUAAUGGCCCACCAAGGCGACGAUCAGUAGCUGGUCUGAGAGGAUGAUCAGCCACAUUGGGACUGAGACACGGCCCAAACUCCUACGGGAGGCAGCAGUGGGGAAUAUUGGACAAUGGGCGCAAGCCUGAUCCAGCCAUGCCGCGUGAGUGAUGAAGGCCCUAGGGUUGUAAAGCUCUUUUGUGCGGGAAGAUAAUGACGGUACCGCAAGAAUAAGCCCCGGCUAACUUCGUGCCAGCAGCCGCGGUAAUACGAAGGGGGCUAGCGUUGCUCGGAAUCACUGGGCGUAAAGGGUGCGUAGGCGGGUCUUUAAGUCAGGGGUGAAAUCCUGGAGCUCAACUCCAGAACUGCCUUUGAUACCGAAGAUCUUGAGUUCGGGAGAGGUGAGUGGAAUUUCGAGUGUAGAGGUGAAAUUCGUAGAUAUUCGC